This 1957-nucleotide long non-coding RNA is filed under the name Ananas comosus (pineapple). Its description in RNAcentral is "long non-coding RNA (ACOM_LNC033551)". The record is from RNAcentral. Lineage: Eukaryota; Viridiplantae; Streptophyta; Magnoliopsida; Poales; Bromeliaceae.
GACACCUCCUCCGUUCUUCACGCCUCCUUUGACCCCUACUCCGCCUCCGUUUCCUCCACCUGCGCCCCCGCUCCUCCAGCACCCUCGCCGCUCCUCUAUUUCAACGACUGUAGAGAGAAGAUUGGGGUGGGAGUGGAUGGAGAGGUGGGUGAGGGUUAGGCGGCAGAGGAGGGAGAGGGUGAGGCGACGAAGAAGGGCGAGGGUGUGUGUGGGUACGGACAGAGGGAUGGGUGAGGGCGGGGCGACGGAGGAGAGCGAGGUGGCACGGCCGAGGACGUUGGUGAGGAAGGAGGAGACGCAUUUGAAAUGAGGAUUUCAAAGAUAUUUUGGGUAUAAAAAAAAAUAAUAAUAAGAUAUAAACGGAACCCUAAUGAAACACUAACGGUAGGGUCGAAGUGAACAUUUCUUAAUUUUUAAGAGUGCAAAAUAUAGUUUUUCAAAAGUUUGGGGGAAAAGUGAAAAGCGAGUAUCGACAUAGAGUUUUUUGUAAUUUAACCUAAAAAAUUAUAUUUAUUUGUUCGUCAGCAGCGUUUGGUUAGGGGAUAGGAAUAGGAAUAGGCCCUUAUCCUCCUCUUUAUAUCCAAACGCUAAUUUUUUACCCGAGAAUAGUAGUUCUCGGUUAUCCCCACCAACACCUCCAUUUUCUAUAUAAAACUAUCUAAAAUUGUUUUUAUCCCCGGGAAUAACCCAAUUUUCAUCCAAACACUAUUUUUCUUAUCCCCAUACUUAUACAUAUCCCUGUAAUAGCUAGUUCUUGCUUAUACCCGAACCAAACGGAAUAUACUAUAUUUAUAGUUUCAGUUAAUUAUAUAUUAUGAUUAACAUGGACCCGUAUGAUAUUGAUUAAAAAAAAAAACCUGCAUACGCAAAAAAACUACGUUCCUAAAUUGAAUCAUAAACAAAAAUCGAGUUAAAUUUCAAUGAAAAAAAAAUUUAUUAGCCCUGCAUGACACUACACAAUUAUUUAUAAUUAGAUAUAACUAAGAAUAAAUUAGUCCAAAAUUUUUAAUUGAUGUACUGGAGGGAAUUGUUGAUAUAAUUCAUUAAUUUAUAGGGGCGAAAAUGAUAUUAACAAUUUUGAAGAGGUAUCUAUGAUAUUUAAUAACUUUUGAGUAAAACUGUCCAAAAUAUCCGAUAUUUCAUAUCCGACCCAGACACUACCCGAACCCGAACUGGACCUGAUAAAAAAUAAAUAGUAUACAAGUAAAAAAAAUAAAAUUACCCAUUAACGUUUCGGGUAUGGGUCCGAAUAUUUUAUACCCAUAAUCAACUUGGACCUAAUCUGAACCCGACCUUUUAAUGGAUAGGGUUCGCCAGAGUUUUCAAAUCCGGACCCAUAUUCAGGCCCGAACCCAAACUUGUACUCAGACCUAGUGAAGUACCUAAUAAUAAAUAAAAAGAUUUAAAGUUGAGGGAUUAAUUUUAAUAGGACUUAUAGAUAAAGGGUCUCUGUGUAUUUGCAUCCUCUUGAAACUCCAGUCGUGUUGUUUACUCCUUUUUUAUUUUUUUAUUUUCCUCCUUACUUUUUUUAACCCUAACCGUUUAGUUUACUUCUUGAAUUUUUCUUUUUAAUGAAUUUUAUCAAACUGGGUGCAACUCAUUGGAAUGCAUGUUUUCUAUAGUGAGAGAUUUAUGAUUUGUCUAUAAAUUAUUUAAUAAAGUCUAUAAAAUAUAUAAGCAUACAGAUACCUAUACCCGAUUUGGGCCCGACCCGUACCUGACUCGUACCCGGUCUUCAACGGGUAGUAUACGGGUAAUCACUAUUCAAACCGGCUCAAAAAGAUCCGAUGGGUAUAUUAUUAACUUAAGUAUCCAGAUCUGAAUUCGGCCUGAAGUUAAAUGGUUAGGGUAUAUAUAUUUUUUUACUCCUUUUUUUUUAGGGUACAGAUAUAGUAUAUCAACUAUCCAGUUCCGACCCGGUCAAAUGACACUUAUUUUUUAGAGGCACGAUUGAAAU